Molecule: non-coding RNA, 69 nt
Organism: Podarcis lilfordi (Lilford's wall lizard)
Lineage: Eukaryota; Metazoa; Chordata; Lepidosauria; Squamata; Lacertidae
Source: the annotation of a GenBank genome assembly
GCCACAGCUCAGUGGUAGAGCACCUGCUCUUCAUGCAAAAGGUCCCACAUUCAAUCCCUGGUAUAUCCA